UUUAAAGGGCUUGUGAAGAGAACUGUGAUUUUGCAUCUCAAGAAAGAAAUAUUUCAUCUACGUUUUAACAGUGAAUGAAAAACCUUUUAACGCCUACAGUUCCACAACGAUGAAAGGCUUUUAAUAAAAGUCUCCGACAGAGGAGGCUUAGAGAGGACGAGCGAACCCCGCCCCGCGGCUCCAAGGCCGGAGAAGCCAGAAACAAACAACUCCGCCCCUGCGCCGCCCCGACGCCGGCUGCCCGGGGUUCCAGCAGAAACUAGCCAUUUUCCCCCGUGCAGACGCGGGUAUCUCCCUAGAACGCCACCGACCCCGGAGCGAUCUUCUUCCUCUAGCCCGGGGCUGCGCUUUGUCCCGCUCCUCUCCCCCUCCCCCUGCCCAACUGCACCCGCCGCGCCCGGGGCUGGGGGACCUCUUCUCGCCCUCCCCCUGGGACCAGCGCCAGGAAGAAAAGCCUGUCCGAGCCACACAUACACCGGGGCCGCCUUUCCCUGCCCCAGAUCCUGUCGUCACCGACAGACGGGCUGCUCGCGGCUCGGAAGGGCUCAGAUAACAAGGACUCGCUCGGCGCCGCCUUUGUUCUUCCCCACGGUUCUGCUGCGCCCCGGGCGCAGUCCUGGCUGCGCUCCCGCACCCGCACCCGCACCCGCACCCCGCGCUGCGGCGGCGGCCGGGCUCGAGGAUUUGGGGCAGCGAAGCUACACCUCGCAAACAAAGCAUAAAGGCUGACCCUUACCCAAAGAAGCUGUAAAGGAAAGAAGGAAAGAGGGCUUCAGGUUUUCCCAGCAGAUCUUGGGGGACUGACCCCACCCAAGGGCCACAAAGAGCCAGAGAAGGAAGAUUCUUACCAUGGUUGCUGCUUGGCGGCUGCCGGGCGGAUGGCGGAGAAGAGGAGAGGUUGUUGCUUCUUACAGCGCGACUCUUAGGCGGUCGAUGUAAGAGAACCUGCGGCACAUGGGCGGAUGCGGCUCCCUAUAUACAACUCGGUCACCAUGGGGAUGGGCUGGGGCCUUUUCCUGUUGGUCCAGACCCCCUCAAUCUGCCCGGAGAAGUCACGACAGGAGAGUGGUGAUUGGUGCAAGCAACAUGGGAUGAGGAGACGAGGGAGAUUAUGCUCCUGAUUUCCUCACCUGGACACCAGGACCCCAACGCGAGGGAAUAAUACAUGCUGGGCAAUGAAACCUUCAGGUCCCUGCGCUUUUUAACACAGGCACAACCAGCAAAAGUAGAGAACCUGGCUGUGUUUCAGAGAGAUCACAGUAACAUACCCGACAGAGUGCUGUGAGGAUGAAAUAACACACAGGAAAGAACAUCACAACCGUGAAGACCCAAGCCUCGUUACAAUUCCCGGCAACCACGCCGGCUCAGGAGCAGAAGCGCAAACCCCUCGUCUUCUUUCUGUGGGCCUCAGCCAUAGGGGGAGAAAGGUGGUGCCACACUCUCUCCCAGUGGAUGAUGAUGACGUGUUCUAGGCAGAUGAUUGCGGAGGCUCCUGUCAAAUGAGUGAAGAGAAAGAGGAAGUGGGGAGAGGAGGAGGGACUCAAGAAACCCCACUGCAACAAUCCUGGAAUAAAAAUGAGGGGCCGUUAUGGGAAAUGAUAAGCGCGAUCACCGCGAAACUCAGUCCCUUGCCCAUUGUUUUUUUUUCCCCCCCAAUUAUGAUAAGCACUCAUGAUAUUUUGUAAAUAACUUACAGCAGGAUAAGAUAAAUGAAAGAGAGUUCCUAUCGGGUUCUAUCUUCCCUCUGCUUUAGGAUCGUCUCAAAUAACAAUGAUCCUUUUUUUAGCUUUAGGAAGCUUUAAAAACAGUCAAGCCCUUUGGAGCAUUGGGUUUCCAAACCAUAAGGUUUCCCUUCUGGACAGAAGGGCUGCUCGGGUUGUGCCCCUCGCUUUCGGGCCCGCGCGGUCGUGGGGCAUAUCGUGCAGCAUCCCGAGCGCAGGCGACUUUGGAACGUGGGCUCAGCCCCAGCGGUCCCGGGAGGCGACGCCGCAGCCUCGGGCGAGAUCCGCGCUUUCCCC
This is a long non-coding RNA of Canis lupus familiaris (dog), 2018 nucleotides long. RefSeq lists it as uncharacterized. NCBI's taxonomy places the organism in Eukaryota, Metazoa, Chordata, Mammalia, Carnivora, Canidae. The transcript is spliced from 5 exons. The record is from RefSeq and is a predicted model, not a curated record.